CCUACGGGUGGCAGCAGUGGGGAAUAUUGCACAAUGGGGGCAACCCUGAUGCAGCGACGCCGCGUGAGUGAAGAAGUAUUUCGGUAUGUAAAGCUCUAUCAGCAGGGAAGAAAAUGACGGUACCUGAUUAAGAAGCCCCGUCUAACUACGGGCCAGCAGCCGCGUUAAUACGUAGGGGGCCACCGUUAUCCGGAUUUACUGGGGUUAAAGGGCGCGUAUACGGCAGCAUAAGUCUGGAGUGAAAUGCCGGGGCUUAACCCCGGAACUGCUGUGGAAACUGUGCAGCUAGAGUGCAGGAGAGGUAAGUGGAAUUCGUAGUGUAGCGGUGAAAUGCGUAGAUAUUAGGAGGAACACCAGUGGCGAAGGCGGCUUACUGGACUGUAACUGACGUUGAGGCUCGAAAGCGUGGGGAGCAAACAGGAGUAGAUACCCGUGUAGUC
Molecule: ribosomal RNA, 440 nt
Filed under: uncultured bacterium
Lineage: Bacteria
Description: partial 16S ribosomal RNA
Rfam family: Bacterial small subunit ribosomal RNA
Source: RNAcentral